CCCCGUACACAAAAAUGCACAUACUGUGAGCUCGAUGAGUAGGGCGGGACACGUGGUAUCCUGUCUGAAUAUGGGGGGACCAUCCUCCAAGGCUAAAUACUCCUGACUGACCGAUAGUGAACCAGUACCGUGAGGGAAAGGCGAAAAGAACCCCGGCGAGGGGAGUGAAAAAGAACCUGAAACCGUGUACGUACAAGCAGUGGGAGCACGCUUAGGCGUGUGACUGCGUACCUUUUGUAUAAUGGGUCAGCGACUUAUAUUCUGUAGCAAGGUUAACCGAAUAGGGGAGCCGAAGGGAAACCGAGUCUUAACUGGGCGUUAAGUUGCAGGGUAUAGACCCGAAACCCGGUGAUCUAGCCAUGGGCAGGUUGAAGGUUGGGUAACACUAACUGGAGGACCGAACCGACUAAUGUUGAAAAAUUAGCGGAUGACUUGUGGCUGGGGGUGAAAGGCCAAUCAAACCGGGAGAUAGCUGGUUCUCCCCGAAAGCUAUUUAGGUAGCGCCUCGUGAAUUCAUCUCCGGGGGUAGAGCACUGUUUCGGCAAGGGGGUCAUCCCGACUUACCAACCCGAUGCAAACUGCGAAUACCGGAGAAUGUUAUCACGGGAGACACACGGCGGGUGCUAACGUCCGUCGUGAAGAGGGAAACAACCCAGACCGCCAGCUAAGGUCCCAAAGUCAUGGUUAAGUGGGAAACGAUGUGGGAAGGCCCAGACAGCCAGGAUGUUGGCUUAGAAGCAGCCAUCAUUUAAAGAAAGCGUAAUAGCUCACUGGUCGAGUCGGCCUGCGCGGAAGAUGUAACGGGGCUAAACCAUGCACCGAAGCUGCGGCAGCGACGCUGAUGCGUUGUUGGGUAGGGGAGCGUUCUGUAAGCCUGUGAAGGUGUGCUGUGAGGCAUGCUGGAGGUAUCAGAAGUGCGAAUGCUGACAUAAGUAACGAUAAAGCGGGUGAAAAGCCCGCUCGCCGGAAGACCAAGGGUUCCUGUCCAACGUUAAUCGGGGCAGGGUGAGUCGACCCCUAAGGCGAGGCCGAAAGGCGUAGUCGAUGGGAAACAGGUUAAUAUUCCUGUACUUGGUGUUACUGCGAAGGGGGGACGGAGAAGGCUAUGUUGGCCGGGCGACGGUUGUCCCGGUUUAAGCGUGUAGGCUGGUUUUCCAGGCAAAUCCGGAAAAUCAAGGCUGAGGCGUGAUGACGAGGCACUACGGUGCUGAAGCAACAAAUGCCCUGCUUCCAGGAAAAGCCUCUAAGCAUCAGGUAACAUCAAAUCGUACCCCAAACCGACACAGGUGGUCAGGUAGAGAAUACCAAGGCGCUUGAGAGAACUCGGGUGAAGGAACUAGGCAAAAUGGUGCCGUAACUUCGGGAGAAGGCACGCUGAUAUGUAGGUGAAGUCCCUCGCGGAUGGAGCUGAAAUCAGUCGAAGAUACCAGCUGGCUGCAACUGUUUAUUAAAAACACAGCACUGUGCAAACACGAAAGUGGACGUAUACGGUGUGACGCCUGCCCGGUGCCGGAAGGUUAAUUGAUGGGGUCAGCGCAAGCGAAGCUCUUGAUCGAAGCCCCGGUAAACGGCGGCCGUAACUAUAACGGUCCUAAGGUAGCGAAAUUCCUUGUCGGGUAAGUUCCGACCUGCACGAAUGGCGUAAUGAUGGCCAGGCUGUCUCCACCCGAGACUCAGUGAAAUUGAACUCGCUGUGAAGAUGCAGUGUACCCGCGGCAAGACGGAAAGACCCCGUGAACCUUUACUAUAGCUUGACACUGAACAUUGAGCCUUGAUGUGUAGGAUAGGUGGGAGGCUUUGAAGUGUGGACGCCAGUCUGCAUGGAGCCGGCCUUGAAAUACCACCCUUUAAUGUUUGAUGUUCUAACGUUGACCCGUUAUCCGGGUUGCGGACAGUGUCUGGUGGGUAGUUUGACUGGGGCGGUCUCCUCCUAAAGAGUAACGGAGGAGCACGAAGGUUGGCUAAUCCUGGUCGGACAUCAGGAGGUUAGUGCAAUGGCAUAAGCCAGCUUGACUGCGAGCGUGACGGCGCGAGCAGGUGCGAAAGCAGGUCAUAGUGAUCCGGUGGUUCUGAAUGGAAGGGCCAUCGCUCAACGGAUAAAAGGUACUCCGGGGAUAACAGGCUGAUACCGCCCAAGAGUUCAUAUCGACGGCGGUGUUUGGCACCUCGAUGUCGGCUCAUCACAUCCUGGGGCUGAAGUAGGUCCCAAGGGUAUGGCUGUUCGCCAUUUAAAGUGGUACGCGAGCUGGGUUUAGAACGUCGUGAGACAGUUCGGUCCCUAUCUGCCGUGGGCGCUGGAGAACUGAGGGGGGCUGCUCCU
This 2320-nucleotide ribosomal RNA is filed under the name Escherichia coli. RNAcentral's name for it is "partial 23S ribosomal RNA". It matches the Rfam family "Bacterial large subunit ribosomal RNA", at positions 371 to 2679 of the family's 2925-position model. The record is from RNAcentral. Lineage: Bacteria; Pseudomonadati; Pseudomonadota; Gammaproteobacteria; Enterobacterales; Enterobacteriaceae.